RNAcentral lists this long non-coding RNA (2181 nucleotides) under Aquilegia coerulea. RNAcentral describes it as "long non-coding RNA (ACOE_LNC002007)". The record is from RNAcentral. Lineage: Eukaryota; Viridiplantae; Streptophyta; Magnoliopsida; Ranunculales; Ranunculaceae.
UGAAAAGGGUGGAAACAUCUAAUUCAAUGUAUUUCAUAUUUGAGUACUAGAUGGGGUUGCCUGAAACCAACUCUAAACUGUUCUCUUGUAACUUUUCAUUCUUUAAUUGAAUCAGCAUACUUAGCAAAAAAUUAAAUGAAAAAGCCUUCAGGUUCACUAGAACUUGUAGGAAUCUGCCAAACCUCCAAUUACUUGGUACAAAAAUGCGAUGAACAAAACUAUACAGCUUAAUUUUGUCGUAUUCCAAAAUAAUUACCUCAAUCUUAACAUCAUCAUCCAAGAUAGCCGCCGGUGCUGGGGUAUUGAUGUAGGACAUAACACAUACCCCAAUUGGUUUUCUAUUUGGGUUUAUGAUUUAUUUAGAAGCCUAAAUAGUAUUUAUAAAUUGUUAUUUUCGUUUUUAUUAAUUAGAAGUGUCUAAAAGUCUUAUUUUGAGUCCUGAUUGACUUAGGAAGUUGCCAAAAGUUAAUACAUACCUUAGGGAACAAGUAAUUCAAGUUCUAGUAGGUUUCCUAAUUGUGUCAAGAGAGUUAUCUAUAUAAAGAGCUCCAAAAACGAAUUUCUUAGCGAAAUUGAUGAAUGAAGAGUUUAUUAUUUAGUUUAUUGUCUUUCAAUUUAGUUUUUACUUCAAGUUCUUUAUUUUCCGCAAUUUACAUUCAAGUUAUUUAAAUUUCAGCUUUUACUUAUUACAAUUCCUUUCUGUUAUUUCAAUUCCUUGCAAUCUUAAUUCUUAGAUUAAGUUUAUUUUAGCUUCCGCUGCAUCAAUUGGUAUCAGAGCUCUAGUUUUAAAUUUUUAUCUAAAAACGAUCCACCACCUCCCCACCACCACCUUCAAAUUUGUUUUCAACCAUGGUUCUUAGUGAUGAAGAAAAAAAUUUCUUUAGGGAUUUGUUUCGGGAUUCAUUGAACACAUUAUUUGUCAAACAAGAUGCCACACUCAAUUCGAAAUUCACUCAACAACUAGUAGAGAUCAAGACAACCCUUGGUAUUUAUGAAGAAUCGUGAUAUAAGAUUGAAGAAAUCAAAGCGGACAUUAUCGAAGAUAUCCAUGAUGAACCAAUCAAUACAUCUUUAACCACCCCACCACCCUUCUCUACCAACAACCUUUCCACACCUACCAUUCUUACCCUAAGUAAUGAAAUCUCUUCCACACCAAAACAUCAUGACAUUAUUGAAGAAGUUAGAAAGGUUUUUAUUAAGGAGCCACCAAGUAUUCGUGAAGAUCCUUCAACCCAUGUGGUCAAAAUUGAAGAUCAAACACAUGUUUUUAAGGAAGAAAAGAAUCAUAAAGUUGAGUUUGCAGUGAAAGAUUCAUUGUCCAUUAAUAUUCAUCAUAAUGAUUUUAUUGGCAUUGAUCGUAUUCUUUUCAAGCAAGUUCUCUUUGUUUUCGAAGUCCAAGGAUCAAAAGAUCAAAUCGGGAAUAGUUCAUAAGAAUUCAUGUUAUUCAAAGUAUCUUUUCUUAUGGAGCGGACGUCAUCAAUACAACUUAAAUUCGAGGACGAAUUCUUUUGAAGAAUGGGGGACUGAUGUAGGACAUAACACAUACCCCAAUUGGUUUUCUAUUUGGGUUUAUGAUUUAUUUAGAAGCCUAAAUAGUAUUUAUAAAUUGUUAUUUUCGUUUUUAUUAAUUAGAGUGUCUUUAGAAGUGUCUAGAAGUCUUAUUUUGAGUCCUGAUUGACUUAGGAAGUUGCCAAAAGUUAAUACAUACCUUAGGGAACAAGUAAUUCAAGUUCUAGUAGGUUUCCUAAUUGUGUCAAGAGAGUUAUCUAUAUAAAGAGCUCCAAAAACGAAUUUCUUAGCGAAAUUGAUGAAUGAAGAGUUUAUUAUUUAGUUUCUUGUCUUUCAAUUUAGUUUUUACUUCAAGUUCUUUAUUUUCCGCAAUUUACAUUCAAGUUAUUUAAAUUUCAGCUUUUACUUAUUACAAUUCCUUUCUGUUAUUUCAAUUCCUUGCAAUCUUAAUUCUUAGAUUAAGUUUAUUUUAGCUUCCGCUGCAUCAGGUAUAGUCCAUCGGUUGGAUUUGACGAGGUGGAAUAAGUUCAGGGUCCCAACUGACGAAGUAUAUGUCACUGUCCAAAUCACUUCCUGAGCACUCAUUUGGAUGUGGUCUACAAUCCAAACAAAGUAGAGGUAACAUUAUAAACUAAGCCCACAUACAGAAAACAUUGAAUUUUGAAGAAAAUG